GUAAGGAAUAUUGCUCAAUGGCCGAAAGGCUGAAGCAGCAACGCCGCGUGGAGGAAGAAUGGCUUUUGCUUGUAAACUCCUGUAUGAGGGGAAAAAAUCUCGCCUUUGGCGAGGAUGAUGGUACCCUCGGAGUAAGCCCCGGCUAACUACGUGCCAGCAGCCGCGGUAAUACGUAGGGGGCAAGCGUUGUCCGGAUUUAUUGGGUGUAAAGGGUGCUCAGGCGGAUUCGUAAGUCAGAGGUGAAAUCUCCCGGCUCAACCGGGAAACUGCCUUUGAUACUGCGAGCCUUGAGUUUGGAAGAGGAUGAUGGAAUAUCUGGUGUAGCAGUGAAAUGCGUAGAUAUCAGAUAGAACACCAAUGGCGAAGGCAGUCAUCUGGUCCAUAACUGACGCUAAAGCACGAAAGCGUGGGUAGCAAACAGGAUUAGAAACCCCGGUAGUCC
RNAcentral lists this ribosomal RNA (442 nucleotides) under uncultured bacterium. RNAcentral's name for it is "bacterial SSU rRNA". It matches the Rfam family "Bacterial small subunit ribosomal RNA", at positions 354 to 796 of the family's 1533-position model. The record is from RNAcentral.